CUUUGAUUUUUAAUAAAACUUUUUAAUUUCAAAAAAAAAAAAAAAACACCAUUCGUCAGUCAUAGAGCGCUCUCCUCAAAUCGAUACGCAUAAGAUAAGCCAACCAUCUCUCUCUAACAGCCAAAGAUGAAAGCCAUAGUGAUCACCACACCCGGUAGCCCAGAGGUGCUGCAACUACAAGAAGUAGAAGACCCACAAAUCAAAGAUGAUGAGGUCUUGAUCAAGGUCGAGGCCACCGCUCUUAACCGGGCUGAUAUUAUCCAAAGGCAGGGCAAGUACCCACCUCCCAGAGGCGCCAGUCCCUACCCGGGUCUUGAAUGUUCCGGUACCAUCGAAGCCACUGGGAAAUUCGUUUCUCGCUGGAAAGUGGGGGAUCAUGUGUGUGCUCUUCUUAGUGGAGGAGGCUACGCUGAGAAAGUGGCAGUUCCAGCAGGACACGUUCUUCCCAUCCCUUCUGGCAUUUCAGUCAAGGAAGCUGCUGCUUUUCCAGAGGUGGUGUGUACUGUUUGGUCGAGUGUUUUUAUGACCAGUCGGCUUUCUGCCGGAGAAACGUUUCUGGUUCAUGGGGGCUCUAGUGGAAUAGGUACAUUUGCAAUUCAGAUAGCUAAGGUCCGAGGGGUCAAGGUCUUUGUCACUGCAGGGAGUGAGGAGAAAUUGGCUGUAUGCAAGGAACUUGGAGCUGAUGUGUGCAUCAACUACAAAACAGAGGAUUUCGUUGCUCGAGUCAAGGAAGAAACCGGCGGAAAAGGUGUUGAUGUUAUUCUGGAUUGUAUGGGAGCAGCCUACUUUCAGCGGAACCUCGAUAGCUUAAAUUUUGAUGGGCGGCUUCAUAUCAUAGGCUUGAUGGGUGGAGCUGUGACAGAAUUUAAUCUGGGUUCUUUGUUUGCAAAGCGCCUCACAGUGCAAGCGACUGGCUU
This 917-nucleotide unclassified non-coding RNA is filed under the name Hevea brasiliensis (rubber tree). The record is from RNAcentral. Lineage: Eukaryota; Viridiplantae; Streptophyta; Magnoliopsida; Malpighiales; Euphorbiaceae.